GCUCCUCUGUAUGCAGCUCCACCAUGUACAAGACACAAAGUUUGCCAAAGAAGCCAAGUUAAGCUUGGUAAACUACACAGACUCGGAUGAAUCAGCCGUCAGUUCCAACGCUAAUGAAGAUGUUCCCUCAUACACCAUACAGUUUCUGAUGUCAGUCUGGCACGAAGCAUGGAGCAGAAUCGAAGUGGGUCUCCACAAGAAAAUGAAGGGGAGAGUAAUUCCAAUGGAGACGACAUCCCUGUCCAAAAGAAAAAGUCCAAGACCAUUCGCAAGCCACAGAAGAAGAGGCCCUGGGAAACUGAGGAGACAAAUGCCGUUGAAAAGCACAUGAGGAACUUCAUUUUGACAUGCAAUGUUCCAAGAAAGGAAGACUGUGAUAAGUGCCUUA
Long non-coding RNA from Gadus chalcogrammus (walleye pollock), 388 nucleotides. RefSeq lists it as uncharacterized. Lineage: Eukaryota; Metazoa; Chordata; Actinopteri; Gadiformes; Gadidae. The transcript is spliced from 3 exons. The record is from RefSeq and is a predicted model, not a curated record.